CACAGGGCCAGGUUCGAGGACGGCCACCAAUUGCUACUUUCUCUGCCAAUCCAGAUACAAAAGCAGCAGCAGCCCCGUUUCAGAACUCUCAGGCUUCCGUCGGUACGCCUCGACACCAACCCACCUCGACCUCCAGCACAGCAGCAGGCCCAGCCCAUCCUUCGAAACUGCGGGCUCAGACCGCUGUCCAGGCCUCCACCCCAGGCCCACCCCUGCCCCCGCCCCAGGCCCCCUCGCUGGUGGCCGGGCAGAGUGCACCGCCCCAGCGGCUGGUGCUUACCUCGCAGGCCCAGGCCCGCUUGCCCAGUGGGGAAGUAGUGAAAAUAGCUCAGCUGGCGUCCAUUGCAGGGCCACAGAGCCGUGUGGCCCAGCCAGAGACACCUGUGACACUGCAGUUCCAAGGGAACAAAUUUACCUUGUCACAUAGCCAGCUGCGACAGCUCACAGCAGGCCAGCCUCUGCAGCUGCAAGGUAGCGUACUCCAGAUCGUGUCAGCCCCUGGGCAGCCCUACCUGCGAGCCCCUGGCCCCGUGGUGAUGCAGACUGUGUCUCAGGCAGGCGCUGUGCAUAGCACCCUGGGAAGCAAGCCCCCAACCAGUGGCCCCAGCCCUGCACCCUUGAGCACACAAGUUGGUGUUCCUGGUCGAGUAGCAGUGAGUGCUAUGGCUGUUGGGGAACCUGGCCUGGCUUCCAAACCAGCUUCUCCUGCUGCAGGGCCAACCCAG
Molecule: long non-coding RNA, 725 nt
Filed under: Rattus norvegicus (Norway rat)
Lineage: Eukaryota; Metazoa; Chordata; Mammalia; Rodentia; Muridae
Description: long non-coding RNA NONRATT007655
Source: RNAcentral